GACGAACGCUGGAGGCGUGCUUAACACAUGCAAGUCGAACAAUGAAAUGGAGCUUGCUCCAUGGAUUAGUGGCGAACGGGUGAGUAACACGUGAAUAACCUGCCCUUAAUUUUGGAAUAACCCAGGGAAACCUGGGCUAAUACCGGAUAAGUAAACCUGUGGCAUCACAUGGUUUUGGAAAGUUUUUCGAUUAAGGAUGGAUUCGCGGCCUAUCAGCUUGUUGGUGAGGUAAUGGCUCACCAAGGCGACGACGGGUAGCCGGCCUGAGAGGGUGAACGGCCAAACUGGGACUGAGACACGGCCCAGACUCCUACGGGAGGCAGCAGUGGGGAAUAUUGCGCAAUGGACGAAAGUCUGACGCAGCGACGCCGUGUGAGGGACGAAGGUCUUCGGAUUGUAAACCUCUUUCAGCAGGGACGAAGCGAAAGUGACGGUACCUGCAGAAGAAGCACCGGCUAACUAUGUGCCAGCCGCCGCCGUAA
RNAcentral lists this ribosomal RNA (482 nucleotides) under uncultured bacterium. RNAcentral's name for it is "partial 16S ribosomal RNA". It matches the Rfam family "Bacterial small subunit ribosomal RNA", at positions 28 to 523 of the family's 1533-position model. The record is from RNAcentral.